This 635-nucleotide ribosomal RNA is filed under the name uncultured fungus. Its description in RNAcentral is "eukaryotic LSU rRNA". It matches the Rfam family "Eukaryotic large subunit ribosomal RNA", at positions 24 to 664 of the family's 3401-position model. Lineage: Eukaryota; Fungi. The record is from RNAcentral.
CCCGCUGAACUUAAGCAUAUCAAUAAGCGGAGGAAAAGAAACUAACAAGGAUUCCCUUAGUAACUGCGAGUGAAGAGGGAAAAGCUCAAAUUUAAAAUCUGGCGGUCAUUGGCCGUCCGAGUUGUAAUCUAGAGAAGUGUUACCCGUGCUGGACCAUGUACAAGUCUCCUGGAAUGGAGCAUCACAGAGGGUGAGAAUCCCGUCUUUGACAUGGACUACCAGUGCUUUUGUGAUGCGCUCUCGAAGAGUCGAGUUGUUUGGGAAUGCAGCUCAAAAUGGGUGGUAAAUUCCAUCUAAAGCUAAAUAUUGGCGAGAGACCGAUAGCGAACAAGUACCGUGAGGGAAAGAUGAAAAGCACUUUGGAAAGAGAGUUAAACAGUACGUGAAAUUGUUGAAAGGGAAACGUUUGAAGUCAGUCGCGUCGGCCGAGACUCAACCUUGCUUCUGCUCGGUGCACUUCUCGGUUGACGGGUCAGCAUCAAUUUUGACCGCCGGAUAAAGGUCGGGGGAAUGUGGCAUCCUUCGGGAUGUGUUAUAGACCUCGAUUCGGAUACGGCGAUUGGGAUUGAGGAACUCGGCGCUUUGCGUCCAGGAUGCUGGCAUAAUGGCUUUAAGCGACCCGUCUUGAAACACGG